Molecule: ribosomal RNA, 498 nt
Filed under: uncultured Glomeromycotina
Lineage: Eukaryota; Fungi; Glomeromycota
Description: partial small subunit ribosomal RNA
Rfam family: Eukaryotic small subunit ribosomal RNA
Source: RNAcentral
CCAAUAGCGUAUAUUAAAGUUGUUGCAGUUAAAAAGCUCGUAGUUGAAUUUCGGGAUCAAUAUGUUGGUCGUGCCUCGGUACGUACUAGCUUAUUGGUUUCUCCUUUCUGAAGAACCAUGAUGUCAUUUAUUUGGUGUCGUGGGGAAUCAGGACUGUUACUUUGAAAAAAUUAGAGUGUUUAAAGCAGGCUCACGCUUGAAUACAUUAGCAUGGAAUAAUGAAAUAGGACGUUUGAUUCUAUUUUGUUGGUUUUUAGGAUCGACGUAAUGAUUAAGAGGGAGAGUUGGGGGCAUUAGUAUUCAAUUGUCAGAGGUGAAAUUCUUGGAUUUAUUGAAGACUAACUACUGCGAAAGCAUUUGCCAAGGAUGUUUUCAUUAAUCAAGAACGAAAGUUAGGGGAUCGAAGACGAUCAGAUACCGUCGUAGUCUUAACCAUAAACUAUGCCGACUAGGGAUCGGAUGAUGUUAAUUUUUUAAUGACUCAUUCGGCGCCUUACG